This 620-nucleotide ribosomal RNA is filed under the name Ustilago striiformis. RNAcentral's name for it is "LSU rRNA". It matches the Rfam family "Eukaryotic large subunit ribosomal RNA", at positions 51 to 652 of the family's 3401-position model. The record is from RNAcentral. Lineage: Eukaryota; Fungi; Basidiomycota; Ustilaginomycetes; Ustilaginales; Ustilaginaceae.
CGGAGGAAAAGAAACUAACAAGGAUUCCCCUAGUAACGGCGAGUGAAGAGGGAAGAGCCCAAGAUUGAAAGCUGGCGUCUUCGGCGUCCGCAUUGUAAUCUCAAGAAGUGUUUUCCGCUUCGGACCAUGCCUAAGUCCCUUGGAAAAGGGCAUCAUAGAGGGUGAUAAUCCCGUACAUGGCAUGGAGCGCCCGAAGCUUUGUGAUACGCUUUCUAAGAGUCGAGUUGUUUGGGAAUGCAGCUCAAAAUGGGUGGUAAAUGCCAUCUAAGGCUAAAUAUUGGGGAGAGACCGAUAGCGAACAAGUACAGUGAUGGAAAGAUGAAAAGAACUUUGAAAAGAGAGUUAAACAGUACGUGAAAUUGCCAAAAGGGAAGGGUAGGAGGUCAGAGAUGCGUUUCGGGAUUCAGCCUUGCUUUUGCUUGGUGUUUUUCCCAAAUUGCAGGCCAACGUCGGUUUUGGGCGCUGGAGAAGGGUGGAAGGAACGUGGCACCCCUCGGGGUGUGUUAUAGCCUUCUACUGGAUACAGUGACCGAGACCGAGGACAGCAGCGUACUCGCAAGAGCGGGCCUUCGGGCACCUUUACGCUUAGGGCGUUGGCAUAAUGGCCCUCUACCACCCGU